This 656-nucleotide long non-coding RNA is filed under the name Helianthus annuus (common sunflower). The record is from RNAcentral. Lineage: Eukaryota; Viridiplantae; Streptophyta; Magnoliopsida; Asterales; Asteraceae.
CACAAUUCACAAACACAAAUAAUAGAAAGACUUCCAGAAGUUUUAGAGAGAGAGAAGAGAGAUACGGUGGAAGGACCACCUUUUUUGGUGGUGAACCCGGCUGCGCACGAUAGCGCCUCUCACUUCCGACGCAUAAACGACUGCCAUGGUGGUGGUGAGUUGUGGAGUUGUACUUCGGAAACAAACCCGGGCCGGUCAACGAACCCGGUUCAAGGCGUUUGUGGUGGUGGAUGAUGGUAACAGGCACGUGGGUUUAGGAGGUUGCGAUUGCUAUUAGGGGUGCGAUUAUUCUAGCGUGUAUUCCGGUAAACUAUGACGAGUCUCCGGCGAAGAUCCGUGUAAAGAAUUUUGACAGUUGAUAUCUAUUGAAACCAACAGUUCAAAGAGGCAAGGUAUGAAGAUUUGACUCAAGUUAUUGGUUUUUGAGCUGAGUGGGGGUUGCUACAAUUUAGUAAGCAAAUCAAAACACGUGACAAGGCCCACUUCUUUUUAUCUUCAAGACUUCAAUUAUGUACAGGUGCUGUCUUGAGAUGAUUGUUGAUGCAUGCUACAUUUAGGAUGGACUCGUGCCUUAGCAACUUUAAAACUUGGAAGAUCAUAGUUGUACUUAUGUGAUUGUAAUAGAACAACGAGUUCAUUUAAUCAAUAAAACAAUA